AUUGAACGCUGGCGGCAGGCUUAACACAUGCAAGUCGAGCGGGGUGAUGGUGCUUGCACUAUCACUUAGCGGCGGACGGGUGAGUAAUGCUUAGGAAUCUGCCUAUUAGUGGGGGACAACAUCUCGAAAGGGAUGCUAAUACCGCAUACGUCCUACGGGAGAAAGCAGGGGAUCACUUGUGACCUUGCGCUAAUAGAUGAGCCUAAGUCGGAUUAGCUAGUUGGUGGGGUAAAGGCCUACCAAGGCGACGAUCUGUAGCGGGUCUGAGAGGAUGAUCCGCCACACUGGGACUGAGACACGGCCCAGACUCCUACGGGAGGCGGCAGUGGGGAAUAUUGGACAAUGGGGGGAACCCUGAUCCAGCCAUGCCGCGUGUGUGAAGAAGGCCUUAUGGUUGUAAAGCACUUUAAGCGAGGAGGAGGCUCUUUUGGUUAAUACCCAAGACGAGUGGACGUUACUCGCAGAAUAAGCACCGGCUAACUCUGUGCCAGCAGCCGCCGCGG
RNAcentral lists this ribosomal RNA (503 nucleotides) under uncultured bacterium. RNAcentral's name for it is "partial 16S ribosomal RNA". It matches the Rfam family "Bacterial small subunit ribosomal RNA", at positions 30 to 523 of the family's 1533-position model. The record is from RNAcentral.